RNAcentral lists this ribosomal RNA (468 nucleotides) under uncultured bacterium. RNAcentral describes it as "partial 16S ribosomal RNA". It matches the Rfam family "Bacterial small subunit ribosomal RNA", at positions 28 to 507 of the family's 1533-position model. The record is from RNAcentral.
GACGAACGCUGGCGGCGUGCUUAACACAUGCAAGUCGAACGGAAAGGCCCUGCUUUUGUGGGGUGCUCGAGUGGCGAACGGGUGAGUAACCCGUGAGUAACCUGCCCUUGCCUUUGGGAUAACUUAAGGAAACUGGGGCUAAUCCCGGAUAGGAGCUCCUGCUGCAUGGUGGGGGUUGGAAAGUUUCGGCGGUUGGGGAUGGACUCGCGGCUUAUCAGCUUGUUGGUGGGGUAGUGGCUUACCAAGGCUUUGACGGGUAGCCGGCCUGAGAGGGUGACCGGCCACAUUGGGACUGAGAUACGGCCCAGACUCCUACGGGAGGCAGCAGUGGGGAAUAUUGCACAAUGGGCGGAAGCCUGAUGCAGCAACGCCGCGUGCGGGAUGACGGCCUUCGGGUUGUAAACCGCUUUCGCCUGUGACGAAGCGUGAGUGACGGUAAUGGGUAAAGAAGCACCGGCUAACUACGUG